CGCCAGCGCGGGGGGCGGCCGCGCCCGGGGCCCCCGGCCCGCCCCGCUCCGGCACGCGGGUCACGCAGGUUUAAGCUGCCUUAAAGGAGAAUUAAAAAUAGUGACUUCAAAGAACAAAAUAACACAGAAGAGAGAAAACAGCACUCAAAAAACCCCCAGAAAGGGGUAGCAGGUUGUUUGACACACAUGGGCACAGAAGAUUAUGAACAGUGAAGACAAUGAAGAGUGGGACAUCCAUCAAAGAGUAACAACCUCUUAUAAGGUGACUCUAGUGAGCUCAUGAGGCUCCUGUAAAGGCCAGACUCAGCUAGGAUGUUACACCACCACUGCAGGAGGAACCCUGAGCUGCAGGAAGAGUUGCAGAUCCAGGCUGCCGUGGCCGCCGGCGAUGUUCACACCGUGCGCAAGAUGCUGGAGCAGGGAUAUUCUCCAAACGGUCGGGAUGCCAAUGGCUGGACCUUGCUUCACUUCUCUGCAGCAAGAGGCAAGGAGAGAUGUGUCCGUGUUUUUCUGGAACAUGGAGCUGAUCCCACAGUUAAGGACUUAAUUGGAGGCUUCACUGCUCUGCAUUACGCAGCCAUGCAUGGCCGGGCGAGGAUUGCGCGCCUGAUGCUGGAAUCUGACUACAGAAGUGACAUUAUUAAUGCCAAGAGCAACGACGGCUGGACUCCCCUGCACGUCGCUGCUCACUACGGCAGAGACUCCUUUGUCAGGCUCCUCCUGGAGUUCAAGGCUGAGGUUGAUCCGCUCAGUGAUAAAGGUACUACACCACUCCAGCUGGCCAUUAUCCGGGAGAGGUCAAGCUGUGUGAAAAUCCUCCUGGACCACAAUGCCAACAUCGACAUUCAGAAUGGUUUCCUGUUACGAUACGCUGUGAUCAAAAGCAAUCACUCGUACUGCCGAAUGUUCCUCCAGAGAGGGGCCGAUACAAACUUGGGGCGCUUGGAAGAUGGACAGACACCCUUGCACUUGUCUGCUCUUAGAGAUGAUGUGCUUUGUGCACAAAUGUUGUAUAAUUACGGAGCAGACACUAACACAAGGAACUAUGAAGGACAGACCCCACUGGCUGUUUCAAUAAGUAUUUCUGGAAGUAGCCGACCCUGUCUGGAUUUCUUACAAGAAGUGACAAGACAGCCCAGAAACUUGCAAGAUCUAUGCCGAAUUAAAAUCCGUCAGUGUAUAGGCCUUCAAAACCUCAAACUGCUUGAUGAGCUACCCAUUGCCAAGGUCAUGAAAGACUACUUAAAACACAAAUUUGAUGAUAUCUGAUAUCCAUGAAGAGAGGAACUGUGAGCAAGUUUAGUUCUAUUCCAGAUACUGAAGAGGCUUGUUGCCUUGCACAAAGUAUAUCCUAUGCAAAUUCUGAUUUUUCUGUGAAGUCAGAAGGCAGGUAUACACUUCCUUGGGUUUUUUAUACCACACGCUAGAAGGUCUUAAUUUUUGGUUUCUUGGUCCAAGUUUAAAAGGUCCAAGCUUUCUAUACGAUAUUGCAUUUUAAAAAUUGCUGUUGGUUUUCUGUUUGUUUUCACAUUAUGUGUGCAGACUUGCCGUGGAGAUGGAAGGCAGCCCCUCGAGGGAAGUGCUUGGUUUGAGUUGGCAUGCUGAGCAAGAACAAAAAAGUUUGGAAAUCAAGGCACCAAUCCUGCAAAAGGAUACAGAUAGACCUCCAGAGCCCUGUUUGUUAGGACCUCUUGUCUCUGCCAGGUUAGAGAGCGGGAAGUGCACAUAAGCUAUUAACUAAGAAGACAAGCCCCACUGACAUUGAAAGUUCAAAUUUUGCAAUUAAUCUGAAAGCAGAAACUGAGAGGAGUGCUGAAAUCUGGCUACUGAAUGUGUCUUUCAAACCAGCGUGGAAAAUUUGGUUUUCUGGCUCUGGUUGGCAAUCAUAGGAGAACACAUCUGGACAAACUCUUCAGCUAAAUACCCAGAGGCAAAAGAAAAGAUAUGGCAUCUUUACCAGGAUGGGCUGGUUUGGAGGAAAAAACCUGCCCACAAGUGCAGCUUCCAUGCAAUGCUGUGUUACCAAUACCAUCAUGUAUUUUGUUCUUCCUUUGCAAUGUAAGUUUUUGCUUUGGGUCAAUUUGAAUUUAAAAAAAAAAAAAAAAAAAAAAGAAAGAAAAAAAAAAAGAAAAAAGUUAAACCUGGUUAAAACCUAUUUUUGGUUUAUGUUCUGUUUAUUUCUAAUGUAAUGUUUUAAUAACAUAAUACCACUUUACACAUUUUCUCUCCAUGUUUGUCUGUCUCUUCUACUCCUGUUCCCUUCUCCGGGGUUCAUGAUUCUGUAAUGCAUUUGGGACUCAAAAUGCCCCCACAAAUGGGAGUUCAGAUGUCUCAUGAGUUGUAAUGGGAUUUUUUUACCAGUAAAUAUGGACAAAACCCUCAUAGAAUAGUUUGGGGUGGAAGGGACCUUUAAGUUCCACCCCUGCCAUGGCAGGGACACCUUCCACUGUCCCAGGGUGCUUCAAGCCCCAUCCAGCCUGGCCUUGGGCACUUCCAGGGACCAGGGGCAGCCACAGCUGCUCUGGGCACCCUGUGCUGGGGCCUCCUCACCCUCCCAGUAAAACAAAACUCACUCUAGAGCUGGGCUUUGGAAGGGGGAACAAACUGGUCCUAAACUGUGAGUGGUUGGGUUUUCCCUGCUCUGAUUGCAGCGCUGCCCCUUCAGGGUUUUCUGACAGGUUCACCUUUCCUCCUCAAGCUCAUGCACUGACCAAGAUACAAAAAUGACCAAACAGAGGCUGCAUUUUAGGGUGUAUUUACUACUGAUAAAAAAGGGGGGUCUAUAUGAAUAUU
Molecule: RNA transcript, 2793 nt
Organism: Vidua macroura (Pin-tailed whydah)
Lineage: Eukaryota; Metazoa; Chordata; Aves; Passeriformes; Viduidae
Gene: ASB7
Gene name: ankyrin repeat and SOCS box containing 7
Exons: 8
Source: RefSeq, a predicted model, not a curated record